UAAAGAUUUAAAAUUUCUCUCCACUAUGUUAAUGGGUUUGAUUUUUCCCCAUCUGUUUUGCAGUUUGAGUCUACUGAGUUCUACGGAUUCACUCAAUUGCAAUCAUCUCUUCUGCAAUUAAUCUCUACCUUCAUUGUUAGAUGUAUUAAUACUUGGAAUGUGGUUGAUCAUAUUGCCAUCUGUUUUGCAGUUGGAUGUAUUAAUACUUGGAAUGCAAGCAAAAUGAUGUAAACUGGCGAUUUACAGUGGCUUUGAAAGGGUGAUUUGCUCUUAUAAAGUUCUGGAAGAUAAACUGCUUUGGAGCCAGAAGCACUCAGUAGCCAGAACAGCAACCUUUCUCUCCCUUAUCGGAAAAUGGGUGCUUUCUAGGUGAGCCGCAAUGCUCUUAAUUUCAAGUAAUGGGUUUGUGUUACUGUGCAGAUCUGCCGAACUUCACAUUUAGUUUCUUGGAAUUGUUAUUUUCUUUUUCAAUUAUAUAUUUUAGUGCUAUUAUGUUUGUCGUUCAGUGCUGGAAAAUUGGAAAGCUCUAGAAACAAUAUAGUUUUUGAGCUAAUGUGAAGAUUUUGGGUUGAAUACUUUGAUUCCGUUUUUCUAUUUGCACUUAGAAAAACAGAGGAUUGUGGUUAA
Pyrus x bretschneideri (Chinese white pear) is the source of this 627-nucleotide long non-coding RNA. RefSeq lists it as uncharacterized. The transcript is spliced from 2 exons. NCBI's taxonomy places the organism in Eukaryota, Viridiplantae, Streptophyta, Magnoliopsida, Rosales, Rosaceae. The record is from RefSeq and is a predicted model, not a curated record.